RNAcentral lists this unclassified non-coding RNA (100 nucleotides) under Macacine alphaherpesvirus 2. The record is from RNAcentral. Lineage: Duplodnaviria; Heunggongvirae; Peploviricota; Herviviricetes; Herpesvirales; Orthoherpesviridae.
CGCGCCCGGGCGCGGCCUCGGUGGGCGCACUCGAUCCCGGCCGGGCUCUCCCGCGCGGAUCGGGUCCGCGCUACCGGAGCCGCGCUCGCGGCCUGACGCG